CAGCAGCCACGGUAAUACGUAGGGUGCAAGCGUUAAUCGGAAUUACUGGGCGUAAAGCGUGCGCAGGCGGUUCGGAAAGAAAGAUGUGAAAUCCCAGAGCUUAACUUUGGAACUGCAUUUUUAACUACCGGGCUAGAGUGUGUCAGAGGGAGGUGGAAUUCCGCGUGUAGCAGUGAAAUGCGUAGAUAUGCGGAGGAACACCGAUGGCGAAGGCAGCCUCCUGGGAUAACACUGACGCUCAUGCACGAAAGCGUGGGGAGCAAACAGGAUUAGAUACCCCUGUAGUCCCUGUCUCUUAUAC
Molecule: ribosomal RNA, 301 nt
Filed under: uncultured bacterium
Lineage: Bacteria
Description: partial 16S ribosomal RNA
Rfam family: Bacterial small subunit ribosomal RNA
Source: RNAcentral